GUUGAAGGUUGGGUAACACUAACUGGAGGACCGAACCGACUAAUGUUGAAAAAUUAGCGGAUGACUUGUGGCUGGGGGUGAAAGGCCAAUCAAACCGGGAGAUAGCUGGUUCUCCCCGAAAGCUAUUUAGGUAGCGCCUCGUGAAUUCAUCUCCGGGGGUAGAGCACUGUUUCGGCAAGGGGGUCAUCCCGACUUACCAACCCGAUGCAAACUGCGAAUACCGGAGAAUGUUAUCACGGGAGACACACGGCGGGUGCUAACGUCCGUCGUGAAGAGGGAAACAACCCAGACCGCCAGCUAAGGUCCCAAAGUCAUGGUUAAGUGGGAAACGAUGUGGGAAGGCCCAGACAGCCAGGAUGUUGGCUUAGAAGCAGCCAUCAUUUAAAGAAAGCGUAAUAGCUCACUGGUCGAGUCGGCCUGCGCGGAAGAUGUAACGGGGCUAAACCAUGCACCGAAGCUGCGGCAGCGACACUGUGUGUUGUUGGGUAGGGGAGCGU
Molecule: ribosomal RNA, 497 nt
Filed under: Escherichia coli
Lineage: Bacteria; Pseudomonadati; Pseudomonadota; Gammaproteobacteria; Enterobacterales; Enterobacteriaceae
Description: partial 23S ribosomal RNA
Rfam family: Bacterial large subunit ribosomal RNA
Source: RNAcentral